Molecule: ribosomal RNA, 509 nt
Filed under: uncultured bacterium
Lineage: Bacteria
Description: partial 16S ribosomal RNA
Rfam family: Bacterial small subunit ribosomal RNA
Source: RNAcentral
ACGAACGCUGGCGGCGUGCUUAACGCAUGCAAGUCGAACGAAGAGCGAUGGAAGCUUGCUUCUAUCAAUCUUAGUGGCGAACGGGUGAGUAACGCGUAAUCAACCUGCCCUUCAGAGGGGGACAACAGUUGGAAACGACUGCUAAUACCGCAUACGAUCUAAUCUCGGCAUCGAGGAUAGAUGAAAGGUGGCCUCUACAUGUAAGCUAUCACUGAAGGAGGGGAUUGCGUCUGAUUAGCUAGUUGGAGGGGUAACGGCCCACCAAGGCGAUGAUCAGUAGCCGGUCUGAGAGGAUGAACGGCCACAUUGGGACUGAGACACGGCCCAGACUCCUACGGGAGGCAGCAGUGGGGAAUCUUCCGCAAUGGACGAAAGUCUGACGGAGCAACGCCGCGUGAGUGAUGACGGCCUUCGGGUUGUAAAGCUCUGUUAAUCGGGACGAAAGGCCUUCUUGCGAACAGUUAGAAGGAUUGACGGUACCGGAAUAGAAAGCCACGGCUAACUACGUG